AGGCUGGCUUCUAGCUCAGCGGUUCCUUCCACAGCUUGUUGUUAGCCAACUGACCUGGCGGCUUGCGGCUUGCACUGGCCAGUUGGAUCCAGAGCCGCAGCGCUCUCCAGCCCUUUU
This is a vault RNA of Heterocephalus glaber (naked mole-rat), 117 nucleotides long. Its record names the gene Vault. It matches the Rfam family "Vault RNA". Rfam says of the family: This family of RNAs are found as part of the enigmatic vault ribonucleoprotein complex. The complex consists of a major vault protein (MVP), two minor vault proteins (VPARP and TEP1), and several small untranslated RNA molecules. The record is from Ensembl. Lineage: Eukaryota; Metazoa; Chordata; Mammalia; Rodentia; Bathyergidae.